GACGAACGCUGGCGGCGUGCUUAACACAUGCAAGUCGAACGGAAAGGCCCUGCUUUUGUGGGGUGCUCGAGUGGCGAACGGGUGAGUAACACGUGAGUAACCUGCCCUUGACUUUGGGAUAACUUCAGGAAACUGGGGCUAAUACCGGAUAGGAGCUCCUGCUGCAUGGUGGGGGUUGGAAAGUUUCGGCGGUUGUGGAUGGACUCGCGGCUUAUCAGCUUGUUGGUGGGGUAGUUGCUUACCAAGGCUUUGACGGGUAGCCGGCCUGAGAGGGUGACCGGCCACAUUGGGACUGAGAUACGGACCAGACUCCUACGGGAGGCAGCAGUGGGGAAUAUUGCACAAUGGGCGGAAGCCUGAUGCAGCAACGCCGCGUGCGGGAUGACGGCCUUCGGGUUGUAAACCGCUUUCGCCUGUGACGAAGCGUGAGUGACGGUAAUGGGUAAAGAAGCACCGGCUAACUACGUG
This 468-nucleotide ribosomal RNA is filed under the name uncultured bacterium. Its description in RNAcentral is "partial 16S ribosomal RNA". It matches the Rfam family "Bacterial small subunit ribosomal RNA", at positions 28 to 507 of the family's 1533-position model. The record is from RNAcentral.